This 6882-nucleotide long non-coding RNA is filed under the name Sorghum bicolor (sorghum). RNAcentral's name for it is "long non-coding RNA (SBIC_LNC008523)". The record is from RNAcentral. Lineage: Eukaryota; Viridiplantae; Streptophyta; Magnoliopsida; Poales; Poaceae.
GGGUGCCCUCGAAGGAAAACCUCUUCUCUAAAUAAUAUUUCUUUUUAGGCUUAGCAACCAAUGUAAAGUAGAAAUAGAUCUUCUAGUUUCUACUAGAUUGAGAGAGAUAGAGUGGAGGUGUGGAUCGGAGGAAGGCCGGCCUGUCGGUGUCUACUCCGAGUUGUACCUGCGGGAUCAAGUCUCCUAACCCGAGGCUUGCUUCUAAGAUUCUUCAGUAAUUCGACUUCUAAUACUAGUAAGUUCUUGUUUUAUUGUUCUUUGGUUUAUGAGUUUACUUUAAUCCUCUUCCGGUUGAGUAUUAGAGUAAUCACUUGCUAGCGUAAACGUGGUGUUUAGGCUAGGGUACUCAUAGAUAUCCCCUGACUAGCUGGACCGUGGUAGUAGCGAGGAACGUGACAUUUCCGAGUUACCUUUGCAGAUCACAUCUCGUUAGCAGGACGGGUAGGUUUAUAGGUGCGGGUCGAACAUCCUUUGUGUUGUCUAGAUUCCGUGAGCCUCCCCAAUAGAACAGUAGAACAGGACCAAGGUUAGAACGAGACUACGGUUGCAGUCUUCUCUAUACAUCACUCACAUCUAGAGACAUUCUUUGUAGCCUAAAGGGAUAGUAGCAAUAGAUUUGGUUAGUCAGAUGCACCCUUUCUCCCAGUGGUAAAAAUAUAAAUACGAUAACUCUGGAAAACCUCCCGGGUGAAAUGCUCACCGAUAUCCGUGCGCUUGCGGAUCAUUAUCUAAUUGCGUUACCAAAUAUCAACAAGCAUUUCUGGCGCCGUUGCCGGGGAGAAAGACGGUUUGCUGAGAUAACUUUGAGUCUUGCUAUUAUCUUGUAUUAUACUUUUAUACUUUUAUUCUUUUAUCUUUUUAUUUUUAGCUUUAUGGAUAACUCAAAUUCCAUACCUAUUAUUAAAUUCUUUGCACCUUCGGAGACCAGCCAUAGACCAUGGGAGUCAACACGUCCUGCCCCUAAUUAUGAUCUGUGUCCGGAGUUGAUUGCAAUAGGUCAAAACCAACCUUUUCUAUAGCCGAGGUCCUAUCUUUUAAUCAAAAGAUAAUGCACUUUUAGCUACACCUAGGGAAUCUUUUAAUCUUUCUAUAAAUUCUGGUUUAGACCUAGCCCUACAAGACCAUGUUUUUUCUCGAUAUUUUCACAUUGGUCUUAAUCAUAUAACCUUUGGUAGAGUCCUUCUUUCUUUAUCUAUUAGUAAAGGAAGGUAUGUCUUCAUUCGUGGGCAUCCUUCUUGUACUAGUCUUCAUAGAAAAAUCUUAGAGAUAGAGAAGGAAUCAUCUCCCAGACGAGGAAAGGAAGUUUCAAUAGCCGAUUUCCAAACAUUUCAAACCCAUAAUUCGGCUAUGCACACCUUCCUUGAGCUUAAUAAAUUCUACUAUGCUCUUUCUCUUAAACCUCCCGAUAAUCCUAUGAAUUUCUCUAGACAUCCCAUGCAUAAGAAGGAGGAUCGAGAAGAGCAACAUCAAUGGCUAGAGGGCAUUAAAAAUCCAUAUGCUAUCACCAUUGAAUGGAUAGAUAAAACAAACUUGAGAGACAAUCCUAGAGGAAUUUUAAGCAUUCAUGAAGAAUCAUCCUUGGAGUUUGAGAAUGAGAGAAACAACAGUGAGCAUGGAAGUUAUUUCAUAAAUACCUCACCAAGUCCAUGUUCAUAUGCAACAUCUCCCCAAUCAAUUAGUCUCUCCAACAUUACCACAUUUGAGAUCUCCAACCCUCUCUUCUUUUCUAUUUAUAAAAACUUUAAAAGAGCGGUUGUCGAUGCAUAUGUCUAUAAUAAAUAUUGCAGAUCUCGCUGAGUUAAUUGAUGGUUUCCCAAGGAUAAGCUUAGUGUCCUAAAACAAGCACUUCUAAUUAUUUGCAACAUUGCCUUGUGUAUUGAGCAUAUAAAGAUAAUUGUAGAAAUAUUCCUUUGGGUAUUCUUGUCACUAACCUUUCCAGGAUUGGAGCAAGAAGAUCGGAUGAAUGACAAGCACAAGGUAUGUCCAACCAACCAUCACACAACAUUGAAUUAAAUUCAUCCAAACUUGAAUUUUCCAAAAUUCAAGCUUGGGGGAGUACUUUACAUAAAAACAUCCUUUGCCAUGUUGCUACGUUGGUUGUCCCUACGUUUGAGAGAUGCUCAAUUUGUUAUGUACUAAUUACACUACUUCACCUCCACUUGAGUAGAUCGCUAUAAAUGCUCUCAUGCUACCUUUAUUUGCUUUAGUAUAUGUCUAGGUUUGGAGUAGUUUCAUUUGUCUCUUAAAUCAAGCAUGGUGCUUAGUUUAGGAAUGAUGAUCUUACUUCCAAAGGAUUUUUAAAUUAAGCAUGGUGCUUAGGUUAAAAUGCCCUCCUAAAUCAAAUUAGACAUGGUGUCUAGGUUGAUUUUUGAGCCGAUAGUAUGCUAUAGUAGAUAUGGGAUAUUUUGUUGGACUAACCCCUGCAGGAAAACUUUCAAUAUCAAUUUGGGAAGUCCUGAGAUACAAACUCAUUGGAGAUAAAGGAGACACAUGAAGUUUAACAAUUUACACAAGAAGGACAUAGCUCAUUCAUCAUAAAGAGAUGAUUCAUGGAGGGUGCCACAAACACGAUGCACAACCGCUAAGAAAGGAAAGCUUCCACAAGGUGAUACUGUACCAUCACUCUUCAAGUAAGGUAACAUCUUAAGGUACUUAUCACUUUUAUAAGCUUCACCUUUGUCCUAGCAUUCACAUAAAAUAAGGAGACAAACAUGUAUGAUUUAUAACUCCAGAUUAACCAACUCAAUUAAUUCAGCAUGUUUAGUCCUUUAAUCUUUCUUCUUAGUACUACCUUCGUGAUCCCACACUCCUAAUCAUUGCACAUUCAAUCUUUGGAAGAUAUAAACAAAACAUAAAUAUAGAUAGAUUAUCUUUCCAUUAGGUUGAGCCAUCUGAUCUAACAAAUGUUUUAAAUGCUACACUCAUGAUCCAUCAACUUUAUCUUGCUCACUAUGCUUAAGGUUAGAGAAGAACAAAUACACUUUUGGUUCUGUUGGUGUUUUCCACCAACAGGGCCCAUGCACUUGAUCUCUGCCUUGUCUCUAUGAGCAGGACACAUUUUGAGAAACGUGAAGGCGUUUUACAACUCCCAGAUUCCAUCAAGUGAAGAACCGAGAUCUACAAGCACAAACACAAUGGAGAUCAGGCGAUAACUUUUCCAAAAGGAAUAUUGAAGAACCUUUGUGUCCGAGUUGGUACCUUAUACGCUCCAGCAAACUUCGUGGUGAUAGAGACUGGUAGUAAGGAGAGGGCACCCAUCAUCUUAGGGAGGCCAUUCCUAAACACCAGAGCUGUCAUCUACGCUAAUGCUGCCAAGAUCAGUCUCUUCAUCAAGGGGAAGAAGGAGACUUUCCUUCAAGAACAAGAAGAACAAGCAAAUGUGGACCGAGUCAGCUGAGGUGGUCACUACAGCUCAAGGACGUCAGGAUCGUCGACUCAAGUCACCUUUCUUGAUCAAGAAGGACGACCCUGGUGUGCCAAGCAUUGAGUGCACAAUCAACAAUUACUCUUUUCAGAAGACACUCUACGACACCAGAUCUGACGUCAACAUAAUAACUGCAGUCACUUCUCAGCUCCUGCAUGGAACCAUGCCCCUACAACCAAUAUAUUCAGCUCCAAACAAUUUUCAGGUCAUUGACAUGGGAGAAGACGAGUAUGAUCCAUCCACCAUCCUUGGAAGACCGUUCCUAAACUCUAUCAAAGCCAUUAUCUAUAUUGGAACCGGAGAAGUCCACAUGCACUUCCCCUCUGAGAAAGGUACGCCACUACUUUAAUGAUUAUAUAGUUGAAGAUUCUAAGCAGGUCAGGACAAGAAGAAGACAACGCAACCGCAACCAGAGGAGGCAAAUCAUCAAGGACGGACAGGUAGACUACGAAGGAAAAGUGAUAAGGACUGAAGACAUACAACUUGAACAGAACUGUCCUGAGGAGACCGUAGCACCGAGUCAGGUGUGGAAAGAGAACAUAGUUAUACACAAAGAGGAGUCGCCACCAGAAUCACCGACUACGCCACCUAGCAAAUCCCAGGACGACUAAAAACACAAGGAGUCCCAUUCGGAGGACUUAAAAACACCGAACGCCUUGCCAAGAGGUAAACUUGGUAGUUAUCCUUUCCCUUUCAAUUAUUUCAAAUAGUUUACUUAGUUAAUCAUGUUCGUAUUAUCCUAAAAAGAAAAUAAAAAUGUGAAAAACAGUAAGCCCCAUGUGAGUACACGAGUGGCAUAAAACCCAUAAGUACAUUCACUGUGGUGGCAUAAAAAUAAAAUAAAUAUUUUUCUACUUUAUGAAAACAAAAAUAUAAAAACAGGGAGUAAUGAUUAUUAAGGAGUCUCAAGAUAAUAAAGGCUAGAUAUUUAUGCUAACACUUAAUCAGUUCCACAAGCUUUGUUGUCUAUUUGAGCUCCACAGAAUUUAAGAAUCACGAAGACUAGCAGACGGAGGACAUUCUAAUUGCUGUCAGAAUGUUGCUGACUUUCAAAUACACCUCUGCCACCUGCUAGCUACAUCAAGAGAAAUUACGUGAAAAUUCAGCUUGGGGGAGAGCACCCCCAUUUACCUCGAUAAGUAUUUCUAUCUAUCUUCAUACUUAUAUUAUUUUAGAAUAUAAAUACACAUAUCUAUGAAAAACCAAAUAAAGAUUUUAUGCUUAUAUAUAUUUUGCUUAGUGUGUUUAAUAAAUAAAUAAAGUGGCUAUGCUAAUCAGUAUCUAACUCAAGCAUGGAUAUGAUGAAUAGUUGCUCUGCCUAAUUUGCACAUUUUAAGUUCUCUCUCAAGUUUAGACAUAACUGUUAUAAUUUAAGGCUUGCUCUAGACCUAAACUUGUGGGAUAAAAACUUGAUCUGAAGUCUAAGUUGUUAACGGAUACGAUAUGGGAAGGUUGAGCUGCUGUUUAUCUGUUCCUAGAGAUGCUAGAAUUCUGGAGAAUUUUAUCUUUGAAAAUCUUUAAAAUGUUGCAUGAUGAGUUCCUGUAUGAUGAGAGUUUAAAUUCCUACCACAGCCAUAUAUACAUGCUUGCUAGACUUUGAGCCACAUAUUUACUUUUUACUGCUUAUGAGCAUUGAGUGUGGUCAAGGUGUGUAGACCCUUAGGAGCUUGUCAUGUGGUUAAAAUCAAGAUUCACUUGCACGUUCACUCAUACAUGCUACUUCUACUCUGGAAGUACCAUCCACAUACAUCCACUCAUUUCCAUCUCCACAUUCACCCAAAAAUUAUUCUACUCCUAAUCCGGGAGAGAAUAGCCAAAAAUAUUUUCCUAUCCCUGUUAUUCCCUGUGAAAUAAAUGCUCAAGUAAUCUUGGUUACCACCACUUGCUAUAUUAUUUCAGGAGAUGAGUGCUCUAAAAAAAAGAGAGAAAAAAAAAUAUAUACGAGGAAAUAAAAAGGGGCAAGUGCCAGGAACCUCGAAGAAAAGAAAAAGUGAGACGAGAGGUAAAAAUGGACAAGUGUCCGACAGUAGAAUUAGGGGUACAAGAUACCCACCUGAGAGGAAAGAAAAAGAAAAUAUAGAGCAUCUCAUUCUCCUCAUAAGGUUUCAAAAGCAAGGAAGGUAGGUAUCCCCUCAAAGAGCAAAGUAGAAUUAGACUUCCACCACCAUUGUUAUCACCAUCAUCACCAUACACCAUUCAUUCGCCACACAUGCACAUCUUGAUUUGGCUUAUUGAUUUGUUUCUUUGGAUCCAUGGUUUGACUAUGCAAUAAAUGUCUUGUAAGUAUGUAUACUUUAUCUCCCACCUAUAAGCUCCAGAUAUUAAAGCCUUAUUAGAGUAGGGUGAGAGAGAAGACAAUGUCACUAUGCUUCAUACCACAAAUACUACAUAUCUUGAGAGAAGGCAUAUACCAUCACUGCCUUGGUAAGGAUUCAAAUACCACAAAAGAGAGACCUGAGAGAAUCAUACAAGGAAUUUCUGAGUUUUAUUUGAAAAUCUGCAAAAACUCUAGAGCUAUAGCUGAUCAAGAAUAAGAGACAUGGCACUUGGCUAGACUGUUCUAUCUUUUAACCAUUCAAGACAGAAGUGACGGUUAAAAGUCCUAUGGUGUAGGUAAAGUAAGUAAGUUUUAAGUCUUAACAGUUUAGUUUAUUCUAACUCAGAGAUGAGAUCUUGCUUGAAUGCGUGUGUACUUUUAAGAAAUGAAACCACUGCAGAAACUCUCGAGUUCAUCCUUGCUCAGGGACGAGCAAGAGGUAAGCUUGGGGGAGUUUGUUGACGGUCCUUAAGUAUCAAAUUUAAUUAUCAAAUAAACAAAGAAAAGGAUCCAAAUGAAAUCAACAUCUAGACUUAGGGUUUUAUCUGACAGAAUUCCACGAGUUUUGGUGUUUGUCUAUUUCUGCAGGGGGUUAUCAGGAAAUAAGGAAGAAAGGCCCACAUGUCGGGAUUACAUAGAGAUAUCAACCCACCGCGCAAUUUUCUACCAUCUAGAAGACUCCAGAAGCCACGGGAAGGAAUCGGAGCCCGAAAGGGGCCAGGCCCAGGGCGCCCGCCCACCUCUGGACCCCAUUCCGGACUCUCUUCGCACACGAUGUUCCACCGACCUAUUGGAUCCAGAAUAACAUAGUACCACCUCGCCUAUCGACCCAAAAACGCAUAGAAGGGGAGGACUAUAUAAGCAAGGCCCCCCUAGCCCCUGGAGAAGACAUGAAGAAAUGAUCAUAGAGAUUGAGGGGUGCCCUCGAAGGAAAACCUCUUCUCUAAAUAAUAUUUCUUUUUAGGCUUAGCAACCAAUGUAAAGUAGAAAUAGAUCUUCUAGUUUCUACUAGAUUGAGAGAGAUAGAGUGGAGGUGUGGAUCGGAGGAAGGCCGGCCUGUCGGUGUCUACUCCGAGUUGUACCUGCGGGAUCAAGUCUCCUAACCCAAGGCUUGCUUCUAAGAUUCUUCAGUAAUUCGACU